UGGGGAAUUUUGGACAAUGGGGGCAACCCUGAUCCAGCAAUGCCGCGUGUGUGAAGAAGGCCUUCGGGUUGUAAAGCACUUUUGUCCGGGAAGAAAUCGCACCUGAUAAUACCGGGUGUGGAUGACGGUACCGGAAGAAUAAGGACCGGCUAACUACGUGCCAGCAGCCGCGGUAAUACGUAGGGUCCAAGCGUUAAUCGGAAUUACUGGGCGUAAAGCGUGCGCAGGCGGUUGUGCAAGACCGAUGUGAAAUCCCCGGGCUUAACCUGGGAAUUGCAUUGGUGACUGCACGGCUAGAGUGUGUCAGAGGGGGGUAGAAUUCCACGUGUAGCAGUGAAAUGCGUAGAGAUGUGGAGGAAUACCGAUGGCGAAGGCAGCCCCCUGGGAUAACACUGACGCUCAUGCACGAAGGCGUGGGGAGCAAACAGG
RNAcentral lists this ribosomal RNA (429 nucleotides) under Bacillota bacterium. RNAcentral describes it as "Firmicutes bacterium partial 16S ribosomal RNA". It matches the Rfam family "Bacterial small subunit ribosomal RNA", at positions 355 to 776 of the family's 1533-position model. Lineage: Bacteria; Bacillati; Bacillota. The record is from RNAcentral.